GACGAACGCUGGCGGCGUGCCUAAUACAUGCAAGUAGGACGCAGUUGCGAACGGGUGAGUAACGCGUAGGUAACUACCUAUUAGAGGGGGAUAACUAUUGGAAACGAUAGCUAAUACCGCAUACUAGUAGAUGGACCUGCGUUGUAUUAGCUAGUAGGUAGGGGAAUGGCCUACCUAGGCAACGAUACAUAGCCGACCGGAUAGGGUGAUCGGCGAACCUGGGAAUGGGACACGGACCAGACGCGUACGGGAGGCAGCAGGAGGGAAGCUUCGGAAAUGGGGGGAACCCUGAACGAGCAACGCCGCGUGAGUGAAGAAGGUUUUCGGAUAGUAAAGCGCUGUUGUUAAGGAAGCGGUACUUAACCAGAAAGGGACGGAUAACUACGUGCAAGCAGCCGCGGUAAUU
RNAcentral lists this ribosomal RNA (406 nucleotides) under uncultured bacterium. RNAcentral describes it as "partial 16S ribosomal RNA". It matches the Rfam family "Bacterial small subunit ribosomal RNA", at positions 28 to 525 of the family's 1533-position model. The record is from RNAcentral.